Molecule: ribosomal RNA, 497 nt
Filed under: uncultured bacterium
Lineage: Bacteria
Description: partial 16S ribosomal RNA
Rfam family: Bacterial small subunit ribosomal RNA
Source: RNAcentral
GAUGAACGCUGGCGGCGUGCCUAAUACAUGCAAGUCGAGCGAACAGACGAGGAGCUUGCUCCUCUGACGUUAGCGGCGGACGGGUGAGUAACACGUGGAUAACCUACCUAUAAGACUGGGAUAACUUCGGGAAACCGGAGCUAAUACCGGAUAAUAUAUUGAACCGCAUGGUUCAAUAGUGAAAGACGGUUUUGCUGUCACUUAUAGAUGGAUCCGCGCCGCAUUAGCUAGUUGGUAAGGUAACGGCUUACCAAGGCGACGAUGCGUAGCCGACCUGAGAGGGUGAUCGCCCACCCUGGAACUGGGCCACGGUCCAGACUCCUACGGGAGGCAGCAGUAGGGAAUCUUCCGCAAGGGGCGAAAGCCUGACGGAGCAACGCCGCGUGAGGGAGGAAGUUCUUCGGAUCGUAAACCUCUGUUAUUAGGGAAGAACAAAUGUGUAAGUAACUAUGCACGUCUUGACGGUACCUAAUCAGAAAGCCACGGCUAACUACGUG